RNAcentral lists this ribosomal RNA (387 nucleotides) under uncultured bacterium. RNAcentral's name for it is "bacterial SSU rRNA". It matches the Rfam family "Bacterial small subunit ribosomal RNA", at positions 28 to 404 of the family's 1533-position model. The record is from RNAcentral.
GAUGAACGCUGGCGGCAUGCCUAAUACAUGCAAGUCGAACGGGAGGAAGGAAAGCUUGCUUUCCUGAAUCUAGUGGCGAACGGGUGAGUAACACGUAGGUAACCUGCCCAUGUGCCCGGGAUAACUUCUGGAAACGGAUGCUAAAACCGGAUAGGUAGCAGACAAGCAUUUGACUGCUAUUAAAGUGGCCUUGGCCAUGAACAUGGAUGGACCUGCGGUGCAUUAGCUGGUUGGUGAGGUAACGGCCCACCAAGCCGACGAUCGGUAGCCGGACUGAGAGGUUGAACGGGCCACAUUGGGACUGAGACACGGCCCAGACUCCUACGGGAGGCAGCAGUGGGGGAUAUUGCACAAUGGGCGAAAGCCUGAUGCAGCAACGCCGCGUGA